Molecule: ribosomal RNA, 253 nt
Filed under: uncultured bacterium
Lineage: Bacteria
Description: partial 16S ribosomal RNA
Rfam family: Bacterial small subunit ribosomal RNA
Source: RNAcentral
UACGUAGGGUGCGAGCGUUGUCCGGAAUUACUGGGCGUAAAGAGCUCGUAGGUGGUUUGUCGCGUUGUUCGUGAAAACUCACAGCUCAACUGUGGGCGUGCGGGCGAUACGGGCAGACUAGAGUACUGCAGGGGAGACUGGAAUUCCUGGUGUAGCGGUGGAAUGCGCAGAUAUCAGGAAGAACACCGGUGGCGAAGGCGGGUCUCUGGGCAGUAACUGACGCUGAGGAGCGAAAGCGUGGGGAGCGAACAGG